GAUGAACGCUGGCGGCGUGCUUAACACAUGCAAGUCGAACGGUGAAGGUGGGAGCUUGCUCCUGCUGGAUCAGUGGCGAACGGGUGAGUAACACGUGAGUAACCUGCCCCGGACUCUGGGAUAAGCGUUGGAAACGACGUCUAAUACCGGAUACGAGUCGAGAAGGCAUCUUCAUCGUCUGGAAAGAUUUUUUGGUCUGGGAUGGACUCGCGGCCUAUCAGGUUGUUGGUGAAGUAAUGGCUCACCAAGCCUACGACGGAUAGCCGGCCUGAGAGGGUGACCGGCCACGUGGGGACUGAGAAGCGGCCCAGACGCCGCCGGGGGGCAGCAGUGGGGAAUAUUGCACCAUGGGCGAAAGCCUGAUGCAGCAACGCCGCGUGAGGGACGACGGCCUUCGGGUUGUAAACCUCUUUUAGUAGGGAAGAAGCGAAAGUGACGGUACCUGCAGAAAAAGCACCGGCUAACUACGUGCCAGCCGCCGCCGUAA
RNAcentral lists this ribosomal RNA (487 nucleotides) under uncultured bacterium. RNAcentral describes it as "partial 16S ribosomal RNA". It matches the Rfam family "Bacterial small subunit ribosomal RNA", at positions 28 to 523 of the family's 1533-position model. The record is from RNAcentral.